UCCCUCUUAGCUCAGUGGUAGAGCGCGUCACUAGUAUGUCACUUCACGUGUGUCAUAACAGAAUGACGAGGUCAUCUGUUCGAUCCAGGUAGCGGGAA
Non-coding RNA from Ceratobasidium sp. 428, 98 nucleotides. Lineage: Eukaryota; Fungi; Basidiomycota; Agaricomycetes; Cantharellales; Ceratobasidiaceae. The record is from the annotation of a GenBank genome assembly.